GACGAACGUUGGCGGCGUGCUUAACACAUGCAAGUCGAACGGAAAGGCCCUGCUUUUGUGGGGUGCUCGAGUGGCGAACGGGUGAGUAACACGUGAGUAACCUGCCCUUGACUUCGGGAUAACUUCAGGAAACUGGGGCUAAUACCGGAUAGGAGCUCCUGCUGCAUGGUGGGGGUUGGAAAGUUUCGGCGGUUGGGGAUGGACUCGCGGCUUAUCAGCUUGUUGGUGGGGUAGUGGCUUACCAAGGCUUUGACGGGUAGCCGGCCUGAGAGGGUGACCGGCCACAUUGGGACUGAGAUACGGCCCAGACUCCUACGGGAGGCAGCAGUGGGGAAUAUUGCACAAUGGGCGGAAGCCUGAUGCAGCAACGCCGCGUGCGGGAUGACGGCCUUCGGGUUGUAAACCGCUUUCGCCUGUGACGAAGCGUGAGUGACGGUAAUGGGUAAAGAAGCGCCGGCUAACUACGUGCCAGCAGCCGCGGUGAUACGUAGGGUGCGAGCGUUGUCCGGAUUUAUUGGGCGUAAAGGGCUCGUAGGUGGUUGAUCGCGUCGGAAGUGUAAUCUUGGGGCUUAACCCUGAGCGUGCUUUCGAUACGGGUUGACUUGAGGAAGGUAGGGGAGAAUGGAAUUCCUGGUGGAGCGGUGGAAUGCGCAGAUAUCAGGAGGAACACCAGUGGCGAAGGCGGUUCUCUGGGCCUUUCCUGACGCUGAGGAGCAAAAGCGUGGGGAGCGAACAGGCUUAGAUACCCUGGUAGUCCACGCUGUAAACGGUGGGUACUAGGUGUGGGGUCCAUUCCACGGGUUCCGUGCCGUAGCUAACGCUUUAAGUACCCCGCCUGGGGAGUACGGCCGCAAGGCUAAAACUCAAAGGAAUUGACGGGGCCCCGCACAAGCGGCGGAGCAUGCGGAUUAAUUCGAUGCAACGCGUAGAACCUUACCUGGGUUUGACAUGGAUCGGGAGUGCUCAGAGAUGGGUGUGCCUCUUUUGGGGUCGGUUCACAGGUGGUGCAUGCCUGUCGUCAGCUCGUGUCGUGAGAUGUUGGGUUAAGUCCCGCAACGAGCGCAACCCUUGUUCACUGUUGCCAGCACGUUAUGGUGGGGACUCAGUGGAGACCGCCGGGGUCAACUCGGAGGAAGGUGGGGAUGACGUCAAGUCAUCAUGCCCCUUAUGUCCAGGGCUUCACGCAUGCUACAAUGGCUGGUACAGAGAGUGGCGAGCCUGUGAGGGUGAGCGAAUCUCGGAAAGCCGGUCUCAGUUCGGAUUGGGGUCUGCAACUCGACCUCAUGAAGUCGGAGUCGCUAGUAAUCGCAGAUCAGCAACGCUGCGGUGAAUACGUUCCCGGGGCC
RNAcentral lists this ribosomal RNA (1346 nucleotides) under uncultured bacterium. RNAcentral's name for it is "partial 16S ribosomal RNA". It matches the Rfam family "Bacterial small subunit ribosomal RNA", at positions 28 to 1381 of the family's 1533-position model. The record is from RNAcentral.